GCCCGGUUAGCUCAAUCGGUAGAGCGUGAGACUCUUACGAGUACGUGAUCUCAAGGUUGCGGGUUCGACCCCCGCAUCGGGCU
This 83-nucleotide transfer RNA is filed under the name Fusarium oxysporum. Its description in RNAcentral is "tRNA-Lys". It matches the Rfam family "tRNA". From Rfam's summary of the family: Transfer RNA (tRNA) molecules are approximately 80 nucleotides in length. Their secondary structure includes four short double-helical elements and three loops (D, anti-codon, and T loops). Further hydrogen bonds mediate the characteristic L-shaped molecular structure. tRNAs have two regions of fundamental functional importance: the anti-codon, which is responsible for specific mRNA codon recognition, and the 3' end, to which the tRNAs corresponding amino acid is attached (by aminoacyl-tRNA synthetases). tRNAs cope with the degeneracy of the genetic code in two manners: having more than one tRNA (with a specific anti-codon) for a particular amino acid; and 'wobble' base-pairing, i.e. permitting non-standard base-pairing at the 3rd anti-codon position. The record is from RNAcentral. RNAcentral also lists the same sequence under 4 other names. Lineage: Eukaryota; Fungi; Ascomycota; Sordariomycetes; Hypocreales; Nectriaceae.